UCAGUUACUGGACAAAUGAAAAUGUCUGGAUAAGCCAGAGUAGGAUAAAUUUUAAACAAUAAUAAUGAAAUAUGUCCAAUUUAACCUAGGCCAUAGAAAUAUGAAGCAGGUUUUGUUGUUGUUUUGUUCUUUUGUUUUAGGAGAUGAUUGAAGAAGGGUGCUUGGUUUGUCGAGUUCCGUAAUUAGGAUGCCAAAUCCUGAUGCUAGAUCCUCUCCUUUAGACCUUGCUGCUCAGCGCAUGCCAUAGGAUUAUCCUAUUAAUUUUCAAUGAUCCUGGGCAGGUUUUUAAGUAAAAUGAAAUAUACCUAAGGUAUUAGCUGUAAGUUCAGCAAACCGUGAUGCUAUAAUUCAGUUUAGCAAAUGGAGAAAGGAGGAAGGAGUGGAGGACAUCGAGAGAAAAGGCAAGCUGCGGUACCAGAGAAGCAUUGUUCUGAGCCUGAGCCCCCCGGUACAUAGUUGUGUAUUCUUAGUUGUGGGUCCUUCUAGUUGUGGCAUGUGGGACGCCGCCUCAGCGUGGUUUGAUGAGCAGUGCCAUGUCCGCACCCAGGAUUCGAACCGACGAAACACUGGGCCGCCUGCAGAGGAGCGCGCGAACUUAACCACUCGGCCACGGGGCCAGCCCCUUCAGAGGCAUAGGGAGAGUUGAAUUGCUCCUGCUUCUCGCCCAAUGUGUUUGCCAUCUGGACUGCCACUAACAGCUAGAAAUGCCCCCUUCCUCCCAAAGAAAAAAUAAAAGCGCAAGCAAAUAUUGACUGAGUUCCUACAAGUGCGCAUAAAUGGAUCAUGACGGGAG
RNAcentral lists this long non-coding RNA (793 nucleotides) under Equus caballus (horse). Its description in RNAcentral is "lncRNA (ENSECAG00000041054.2)". The record is from RNAcentral. Lineage: Eukaryota; Metazoa; Chordata; Mammalia; Perissodactyla; Equidae.